This 833-nucleotide unclassified non-coding RNA is filed under the name Hevea brasiliensis (rubber tree). Lineage: Eukaryota; Viridiplantae; Streptophyta; Magnoliopsida; Malpighiales; Euphorbiaceae. The record is from RNAcentral.
UAAUAUUAUGUUAACAACAAAAAAACUAGAGGUAAAAAAAUUGCCACCAGUACAAAAUUUGCCGUGAAAUCGGCAAGCAAAACGGCGGCCACUGGUCACUACUAGACAUUUGAAAGAGCAACUAGUGGUUCCGAGAAAAAGAAAUCUCCGAUGUCUUGGGAAAAGUCGCCGUCUUGGCACAUGGAUGAUGAUGAAGAUGAUCCGAAUUCUUGGGGUGUGUCCAGGGAUAUGUCGCUGAAAUCUUCACUUGAAACGGUGUUUGUUUUUGUUGUUAUCGCGUCAUCGAAGAGUGAAGGUCCUGUGCUUGAAAAAUUGAAGAAAUCGUCCAAGAAUGGCAAGUCCAGCGGUAAUAGAUACUCUGCUGAUUCAUCGGAUACGUUUGUUUUCUGUUCACACUCUUCUUUAACCCGUUCACUUUUUAUGUUUGAUUUUUCUACCGGUACAACCAGCUUUUGCAGUUCAGAUUCUUCACUGCAGUGAGCUCUGAAGUUCAGCACAGAAGUUGGAGAUGAGAGAUUGUGAGACUCAUUGCUAGAAGCUGAGGUCACAUUAAUUUUUGGCUUGUCUUCUACUUGUUCUGCUUCAGCUUUUUCCUGUUGUUUUUCUCUGCCUGGAGGCGUAAUGAAGUUGGUUAAAGCAUCAGGUCCUCGAAGCUUGAUUGCAGCAUUGUCAUAAACCAUAGCAGCUUCUUCAGCAGUGUUAUAGGUGCCUAGCCAUAGCCGCACACGCCUCGCAGGAUCUCGAAUCUCAGCAGCCCAUUUACCCCACGGCCGUUGUCGGACUCCACGGAACUUUCUGCCAUUGGUAUUUGCUGUAUUGAGUUUGAUUGGCCG